AUUGAACGCUGGCGGCAUGCCUUACACAUGCAAGUCGAACGGUAACGGGCCUUCGAGUGCCGACGAGUGGCGAACGGGUGAGUAAUACAUCGGAACGUGCCCGAUCGUGGGGGAUAACGAGGCGAAAGCUUUGCUAAUACCGUAUACGAUCUACGGAUGAAAGCAGGGGACCGCAAGGCCUUGCGCGGACGGAGCGGCCGAUGGCAGAUUAGGUAGUUGGUGGGAUAAAAGCUUACCAAGCCGACGAUCUGUAGCUGGUCUGAGAGGAUGAUCAGCCACACUGGGACUGAGACACGGCCCAGACUCCUACGGGAGGCAGCAGUGGGGAAUUUUGGACAAUGGGCGCAAGCCUGAUCCAGCCAUGCCGCGUGAAGGAUGAAGGCCUUCGGGUUGUAAACUGCUUUUGUACGGAACGAAAAGCCUUCUUUUAAUACAGGAGGGUCAUGACGGUACCGUAAGAAUAAGCACCGGCUAACUACGUG
Molecule: ribosomal RNA, 482 nt
Filed under: uncultured bacterium
Lineage: Bacteria
Description: partial 16S ribosomal RNA
Rfam family: Bacterial small subunit ribosomal RNA
Source: RNAcentral